RNAcentral lists this ribosomal RNA (840 nucleotides) under Escherichia coli. Its description in RNAcentral is "partial 23S ribosomal RNA". It matches the Rfam family "Bacterial large subunit ribosomal RNA", at positions 347 to 1191 of the family's 2925-position model. Lineage: Bacteria; Pseudomonadati; Pseudomonadota; Gammaproteobacteria; Enterobacterales; Enterobacteriaceae. The record is from RNAcentral.
AAGGCGUGCGAUACAGGGUGACAGCCCCGUACACAAAAAUGCACAUAUUGUGAGCUCGAUGAGUAGGGCGGGACACGUGGUAUCCUGUCUGAAUAUGGGGGGACCAUCCUCCAAGGCUAAAUACUCCUGACUGACCGAUAGUGAACCAGUACCGUGAGGGAAAGGCGAAAAGAACCCCGGCGAGGGGAGUGAAAAAGAACCUGAAACCGUGUACGUACAAGCAGUGGGAGCACGCUUAGGCGUGUGACUGCGUACCUUUUGUAUAAUGGGUCAGCGACUUAUAUUCUGUAGCAAGGUUAACCGAAUAGGGGAGCCGAAGGGAAACCGAGUCUUAACUGGGCGUUAAGUUGCAGGGUAUAGACCCGAAACCCGGUGAUCUAGCCAUGGGCAGGUUGAAGGUUGGGUAACACUAACUGGAGGACCGAACCGACUAAUGUUGAAAAAUUAGCGGAUGACUUGUGGCUGGGGGUGAAAGGCCAAUCAAACCGGGAGAUAGCUGGUUCUCCCCGAAAGCUAUUUAGGUAGCGCCUCGUGAAUUCAUCUCCGGGGGUAGAGCACUGUUUCGGCAAGGGGGUCAUCCCGACUUACCAACCCGAUGCAAACUGCGAAUACCGGAGAAUGUUAUCACGGGAGACACACGGCGGGUGCUAACGUCCGUCGUGAAGAGGGAAACAACCCAGACCGCCAGCUAAGGUCCCAAAGUCAUGGUUAAGUGGGAAACGAUGUGGGAAGGCCCAGACAGCCAGGAUGUUGGCUUAGAAGCAGCCAUCAUUUAAAGAAAGCGUAAUAGCUCACUGGUCGAGUCGGCCUGCGCGGAAGAUGUAACGGGGCUAAACCAUG